Molecule: ribosomal RNA, 1438 nt
Filed under: Acinetobacter sp.
Lineage: Bacteria; Pseudomonadati; Pseudomonadota; Gammaproteobacteria; Moraxellales; Moraxellaceae
Description: bacterial SSU rRNA
Rfam family: Bacterial small subunit ribosomal RNA
Source: RNAcentral
GACCGUGGCGGCGGCUUACCAUGCAAGUCGAGCGGAGAUGAGGUGCUUGCACCUUAUCUUAGCGGCGGACGGGAGAGUAAUGCUUAGGAAUCUGCCAUUUAGUGGGGGACAACAUUCCGAAUGGAAUGCUAAUACCGCAUACGUCCUACGGGAGAAAGCAGGGGAUCUUCGGACCUUGCGCUAAAUGAUGAGCCUAAGUCGGAUUAGCUAGUUGGUGGGGUAAAGGCCUACCAAGGCGACGAUCUGUAGCGGGUCUGAGAGGAUGAUCUGCCACACUGGGACUGAGACACGGCCCAGACUCCUACGGGAGGCAGCAGUGGGGAAUAUUGGACAAUGGGCGGAAGCCUGAUCCAGCCAUGCCGCGUGUGUGAAGAAGGCCUAUUGGUUGUAAAGCACUUUAAGCGAGGAGGAGGCUACUAGUACUAAUACUACUGGAUAGUGGACGUUACUCGCAGAAUAAGCACCGGCUAACUCUGUGCCAGCAGCCGCGGUAAUACAGAGGGUGCGAGCGUUAAUCGGAUUUACUGGGCGUAAAGCGUGCGUAGGCGGCUUUUUAAGUCGGAUGUGAAAUCCCCGAGCUUAACUUGGGAAUUGCAUUCGAUACUGGGAAGCUAGAGUAUGGGAGAGGAUGGUAGAAUUCCAGGUGUAGCGGUGAAAUGCGUAGAGAUCUGGAGGAAUACCGAUGGCGAAGGCAGCCAUCUGGCCUAAUACUGACGCUGAGGUACGAAAGCAUGGGGAGCAAACAGGAUUAGAUACCCUGGUAGUCCAUGCCGUAAACGAUGUCUACAAGCCGUUGGGGCCUUUGAGGCUUUAGUGGCGCAGCUAACGCGAUAAGUAGACCGCCUGGGGAGUACGGUCGCAAGACUAAAACUCAAAUGAAUUGACGGGGGCCCGCACAAGCGGUGGAGCAUGUGGUUUAAUUCGAUGCAACGCGAAGAACCUUACCUGGCCUUGACAUACUAGAAACUUUCCAGAGAUGGAUUGGUGCCUUCGGGAAUCUUGAUACAGGUGCUGCAUGGCUGUCGUCAGCUCGUGUCGUGAGAUGUUGGGUUAAGUCCCGCAACGAGCGCAACCCUUUUCCUUACUUGCCAGCAUUUCGGAUGGGAACUUUAAGGAUACUGCCAGUGACAAACUGGAGGAAGGCGGGGACGACGUCAAGUCAUCAUGGCCCUUACGGCCAGGGCUACACACGUGCUACAAUGGUCGGUACAAAGGGUUGCUACCUAGCGAUAGGAUGCAAAUCUCAAAAAGCCGAUCGUAGUCCGGAUUGGAGUCUGCAACUCGACUCCAUGAAGUCGGAAUCGCUAGUAAUCGCGGAUCAGAAUGCCGCGGUGAAUACGUUCCCGGGCCUUGUACACACCGCCCGUCACACCAUGGGAGUUUGUUGCACCAGAAGUAGGUAGUCUAAUCGCAAGGAGGACGCUACCACGGGGGGACG